Molecule: ribosomal RNA, 119 nt
Filed under: Daphnia magna
Lineage: Eukaryota; Metazoa; Arthropoda; Branchiopoda; Diplostraca; Daphniidae
Source: RNAcentral
ACCUAUUCGUAAACCACGUAGAAACAACGUGGUCUAGUCAGCACUCCGAAGUUAAGCCGCGUCGGGUCCCAUUAGUACCUAGAAGGGUGACCGCAUGGGAAUACGGAAUGCUGUUGUCA